AACCCUCGCUGUGUGUUAUAUGUGUCACACGGGACUGCCGGUCUUAAGCCGGAGGAAGUGGGGAUGAUGUCAAGUCAGCAUGGCCUUUAUAUCCUGGGCUACACACACGCUACAAUGGCCAAACACAAUAGGUUGCUAAGCCGCGAGGUGGCGCCAAUCCAUAAAGUUGGUCUCAGUUCAGAUUGUAGGCUGCAACCCGCCUGCAUGAAGAUGGAGUUGCUAGUAACCGCAGGUCAGCUAUACUGCGGUGAAUACGUUCCCGGGGCUU
RNAcentral lists this ribosomal RNA (268 nucleotides) under uncultured Leptolinea sp. RNAcentral describes it as "partial 16S ribosomal RNA". It matches the Rfam family "Bacterial small subunit ribosomal RNA", at positions 1100 to 1382 of the family's 1533-position model. The record is from RNAcentral. Lineage: Bacteria; Bacillati; Chloroflexota; Anaerolineae; Anaerolineales; Anaerolineaceae.